Ananas comosus (pineapple) is the source of this 760-nucleotide long non-coding RNA. RefSeq lists it as uncharacterized. The record is from RefSeq and is a predicted model, not a curated record. Lineage: Eukaryota; Viridiplantae; Streptophyta; Magnoliopsida; Poales; Bromeliaceae. The transcript is spliced from 2 exons.
GCUAAUUCCAGCAUUCAAGUGGCAUCUUGAGGACAAUAUAUAUAGCUGGUGGAUAAGAUCAAGGGAAUAGUAAUUGUAAUGCAAUAUUAAUUGUAUAUAUCUAGUUUACUCCAACAUUAUAUAUCAAUUAUUAUCAAUACUAGAUGAUUCCAAAACCAUGUAGAGCUCGCUUCGACAACAGUUAAACUCGAAGAUAAUCCCUUCUUGGUUUUCUCUUAAAAAAUGUGCGCUAUGGGCAUGUUUGGCAUGCAGUUUUGGGGCGCUGGAGAGUUCGCUAAUGUGGUGAUCGACAUCUCCAAACUCAAGAUCCUUCAAGCUCGCAACUUCCACUUGCUCACAGGAGAAGUCGAGAACUUGGAAAGUAGCUAGAGAUCGAGGCCAUUUCUGGGGAGGAUCUCGUACGAGCUCUGUGCGUUUCAAGUAGCGUGUUGAAUAAAUCCAGCGAACAACUGAUCAAGAGCAAAUAAGGAGUCAACAUCUUAAGCGAACGUGUGGGGGUCGAUGCGGAGAGAAAUAUCCUCACAAAAGGCAAGCAAUUAAGUGCCGAAUAUUCAGGGACGAAAAAGUGAAGCCUUUUGAAUUGUUGUUCUUCACACAGCUAUAUAUUAUAAUGCAUAACUAAGCUCGAAUUAUAAUACAUUUAGCUGUACAAAUCUUUCGAUAUUUUCCCUUAAUUAUUUGUCUGAAUCAAUAGUCGACACUAUCAAAUAUGAUUUGCAUCUCAUGAACCUUCUAAAAACGAAAUUUUUAAUUUUUUAAA